This 497-nucleotide ribosomal RNA is filed under the name uncultured bacterium. RNAcentral's name for it is "partial 16S ribosomal RNA". It matches the Rfam family "Bacterial small subunit ribosomal RNA", at positions 28 to 507 of the family's 1533-position model. The record is from RNAcentral.
GAUGAACGCUGGCGGCGUGCCUAACACAUGCAAGUCGGGCGAACAAACCAGGAGAUUGUGUUUCUGGCGUUAGCGGCGGACGUAUGAGUAACACAUGUGUAACCGACCGAUGAACCACAGAUAACUACGGCAAACCAUACCUCAUACCGUAAAAUAUAUUAGACGGCAUCGUUCAGUAGUGAAAGACGGUUUUGCUUACACAGAUAGAUGGACACGAGCCGCAUAAGGUAGUUGGUAAGGUAACGGCUUACCAAGGCGACGAUCCGUAGCCGACCGGAGCGGGUGAUAGGACACACUGGGACAGAGACACGGUCCAGACUGCUACGGGGGGCAGCAGUAGGGACUCUUGCGCAAUGGGAGAAAGCCUGACGGAGCAACGCCGCGUGAGUGAUGAAGGUAUUCGCAUCGUAAAACUCUGUUAUUAGGGAAGAAGAACUGUGUAAGUAACUAUGCACGUCUUGACGGUACCUAAUGAGAAAGCCACGGCUAACUACGUG